CUGAACGCGCCCGGUCUUGGCUGAUCUCGGACGCUAAGCAG
This 41-nucleotide ribosomal RNA is filed under the name Prolemur simus (greater bamboo lemur). Lineage: Eukaryota; Metazoa; Chordata; Mammalia; Primates; Lemuridae. The record is from RNAcentral.